UCAACACUGGUUAAUUAUGCCAGGCAAUGGGAGAAAAUGUAUGGUUCAGUGAGGGAGGGCAGAGGAGAGAGAGCACAUUUAGGCCAUAAUGCAAAACUUUUGGAAGGCAAUGGAAAGACUCCCGUUAACUUCACCGGGCUUUGGAUUGGGGCCCAAAUGAAGAGAAGGGAUUGUAAAAGGGGAAGGAGGAUUAGCCUCCUGCAUGUAGAGGAGUCUUCGAAGGAACGGAAGCUCUCGUCUGCAGAAAUCCGAGAGUCCCUGGGAAAAGACUUGGAAAGCAAUUUUGAGUAGGAGGAUUAAGCUCCUAUAUACAGCACAGCCCCCAAACUAGUUGUUUUCAUGAUUAUACCCUGCUUUUUUCUGACCCUAGCACCGCUGGCUGAGGUUGCAGGAAGAGCUUCCAGAGAAGACUGGGAUGUGACCGGAGCCAAGGAACGCGGCUGAGUGCACUACUGCAAAACAAGCCAGGGGCUUUCAAGGUACUAAGCCAAAUCCCAAACCCAUGGAAAUCAGCCUAAUCCCAUGGAAAUCAAUGAGGGUAAAUCCACAGCUGGUAGAAAUCAGCUGGGCCCCUUCGAGGCCUGUGGAGCUCGUGGCAAACCUCCGAUUUCUUUGUCACUGGGUUUAAAACAAUUGGAUGCUAGUCGCAGAGAGUGAAACGUGCCCCUGUGCCGAGGACCCGUGCCAGGCAAGGUACUACGUAUGCCCCAUUGAAACACUUUAAGACAAAUCCUGUUUCUGGGUGAAAGCAGUGGAACGAUGCUCAUGGAGGAGCUGACCCACCACGACUUGGGCAAAAGAGGACCAUAAAUGGGUACAAAAAUCAGACUUCUCUCUCCAUCUCAGAAGGUCUGGGCUCUUGCUGGAUAAUUUAAUUUAAAAUCAGGUUACUUAUACACCUCGCAUGAUUUCUCUUAAGUACCAACAUGGUAUCAGGGUGCAAAGCUACCUUAAACACACUUGCAAAGGGAGGCAGCCCAUUGCAUCUCUUCCCUCGUUGUUCCCAAUACCAGCCAUCGUUUUGGCUCAUGGUGUUGGCUGCAGCCUGUGCUCCUUUGAGCGCUGUGUGCCCCUCUGCACCAGGUCUUGUUUCCUGGAGGGUUUGGCUUCUCCAAGGCAUCGUCUGCAGCAUCAGGACAUUGUCUGUUCUCCAUUAGCUCCUGUCUGUACUGGCUGCAUCCCACUGCUUGGACAUCUCUAUUUGCAUUGUCAGGGGUUAAUUCUGAGCUGUCCACUAGUGUUGUGUUGUCUCAGCUAUCAACCUCUUAUUAGGCCUCCAGCGUUUCACCUCAACAACCACAAUGCACAUGUUCAUCUCAACGUCACCUUUUGUUGGGAAUAAUGGCAACAUGAUCCAACUCCGUGCUACCUAGGUGUGACACUCAACCUCAUCUUAACCUUUCAUAAUCAUCGCUGAAAAAUAGCUGUGAAGACCAUGAGUUGGGUGAACAUGGUGUGAACACUCGGAACGAGCUGGGUUGCCACCGCGGGAGUACUUUGUACCUCUUCUAUGGCUUUGGUCUUCUCAACGGCUGAGUACUGUGCACCUGUCUGGGCUGCUAGCCCUCAUACCAAAUACAUGGAUGUCCAGCUAAAUUCUGCAAUGUGUGCCAUGACCAGAACCUCAAAAAUUACACUAAUUCAAUGGUUACCAGCACUGGCCAACAUUGCUCCUCCAGACAUUCGCCGCGACAAAGCUACAUCCAGAAAAAUUGUCUGCGUGAAUGACAACCCAAACCUCCCCGUCCAUAGAGAUUUAAAGAACCUCCCAGAUCACUGCUUGGUCUCCUGGAAGCCUUUGUGGACUUGUGUACAAGCCCUUGUAGGACAUGACAGUGCAGCAGCUUGGAGGAAAAUGUGGAACGAAACCACCAUUUGCAACAAACAUCUACUUUCUGGCCCAACAAUAAAGCCUCCUGGUUUUGACCUUCUGCAAAAAAACAUGGAAGCUAUUAAAUUGGAUCCAAACCGGGCACAGCCGCUGCGGUCACUCAAUGCACAGAUGGAGUAUUAAUCAUCCUGCAGAAUGUGACCGUGGCAAUCCUGAUCAAAUGAUGGAGCACAUAACAAUACUCUGCCCACUAUACAAAUUUGAUGGUGACAUUGCAGAGAUACACUCCCUUUCCUCAAGAACAUUAAGGUUAACUAACCUUAAACUGGACUUACAAUUGUUGCUGCAAGUCCAUCAUACAAAAGAAGAAGCAACAACCCUCCAGGAUUGCAAGGCUGUCUCUGGCUUGAGAGCAAUCACAAGACCACUCUGUAGUUUCACCUCCCUUUUGUUCGCUCUCUUUAGAAAACACCACUCUCACCUUUCCAUUUGGGGAGCUGAGCAGUGCAGUGCUCCUCACGUUGCUGUAAUACAGCCUCCUCUGCACAGACCUGUGUGAAUAUUAAGGGACAGAUCCCUUAUAUUGACAAGCAUUCUCAAAAGGGCGGUAGCCCCAUUGAAAUGAAUGGAGAUGUUUCUGGAGGAAGGUGCUGCAUCACACAAAAGCAGAGCAGAAUCUAGGCCCAAGGUUGGAAUCUGGCCCAUACGCACCCAACUUGGACACCCAAGUUUAAAAGUCUGGCUCUUACAACUCAAGUGUCCAGGGUCUGGAAUGGAUCCCCCCAAAGGUGGUACAAUCACCUACUCUGGAUGUCUUCAAAAAAUGUCUGGAUGCUCACCUUGCUGGGGUCAUUUGACGCCAGAAGUCUUUCCUUCCCAAGAGCGGGGUGGCUGCACCUGAUGAUCUUGAGAGGUCCCUUCCAGACCCUAAAAUCUAUGAAUCUAUAGCAGUGUUGACCAGCAAGCCAUCCAGCAUUGCAUUUGGCUCUGAAGUUCCUCACCUGCAAUGAAGACCAAGUAACAGAACAACAUGAUCAGCAUCUUCUACUGUUUCGCAGAGAAGUAAUGAGGCUUGUCCUUCUCAUCCAAAACAGCCUCUAUACGCUCUUUAAAACCAGUGCAUUGAUCUUUGCUUCUGUUAUACCAGUGGAAUAGCUGGUGCAAUAAUGUGGUCAUGCAAUUUCUGCUGAUUUUGGCAGGAGGAUUGGCUUGGCUUUGCAUGCCAUUUGCAUUUUGGGUGCCUAUAGGGUGAUGUCCCCAUUCUCUGUUUAGUGCCUACCAUCCUGAAUGAGAGGCAGAGACCCCGAGUCAUUUCUCUUCGUGGAAAAAUCUGUUUUCUGUAAGGAUCGGACAGGCUCAUGACUCACCCACCUUUGAUACCAGUGUUAAACAAGAGACAAGGCAGCCAGAGCAGACACUUGUUUCUUCCAGAAGACGCUCCAACACCAAUCUUGCUGGGUAUGACUGUGCCUUUAGGAACAGCCCGGAGCCAGGGGUGCUUUCUACAAGGGACCCCAUGAAGACCCCCAAAGAGAAAACACUGUGAGAAAUCACCCAGCUCACUUCCACGCUGUAAUGAAUUGGGAUGUGGGUGGUCUUUACAGUCUGUUUUCUUUCAUUACAACCUGCUAGUAGAUCAGACCAUGCAUUUGGAUAAGAUGGUUUGGAUAGGGAUGGUCUUGCCUCGGGCAGGAGGUUGGACUAGGUGGCCUUUGGGGGUCCCUUCCAGCCUGACUUCUCUAUGAUUCUCCUUUUUCCAUGGUGGUAGGAACGUGUGGCCAGGGUGUAGAUCCUUUUAGCCACAUGGGAUAAUGGUCCCCCUCGGUUGUCUUCAAUGGGACUCAUGUGAGGAAGUGCUCAUCACAUGUAAAGAAUACACAUCCUCCAGCAGCAAUAAAUUAUUGCUCUGCCGGCCAUGUGCUGGCUUAGCUUUCCUGGUCAACAGGUCAGGAUAUGGACCUAUUUUCUGUCCCCCCAGGCCCACACCUCACCACCUGAUUUGGAGAGGGUUGUGUGUGGGGAGCCCUAUUUCCUUUCCUGAACAUAGACCCGGGGCCAGGGUAGACCCCAUGGGCUCUUAAGGGUCCUUAUUGUGAGCUGAUGGGAAGGCAACUCCAAGUCUAAAUCUGCUCCUUGUGGUCAAGCGAAUCUAAGGAAGUCCCUUCUGGACCAGCCCUUCUGUAUACUAUCACCUCCCCUCCAGCCACUUAAUUAAUAGAUUCAUAGAGAUUCAUAGACUUAAGGGCUGGAAGGGACCUUGCGAGACCAUCAAGUCCAGCCCCGCUGCCAUAGGCAGGAAAUAUGCUGGGGUCCCCUCUGAGCCUGUGCUUCUCCCCACUGAAGAGUCCCAUGUCCCUCAUCCUCUCCUCGUAAGGCUUGCUCUCUUGGUCUUUGAUCAUGCAAAUUUUUGCAUCCUCAAGGUAGCUUGGACCUCAGUUCUGGUUUUUUUUUUGCACCUUAGCAAUAUUUCUCCUCUGUAAAACAAGGCUAAGAAUAGGAGAUGGACCUAGUGAACACAGAUGAGACCACAUCUGGAGUCCUGUGUCCAGUUUUGGGCCCCCGCUACAGAAAGGAUGCGGACACAUUGGAGAGAGUCCAGCGGAGGGCAAUGAAAAUGGUUGUGGGGCUGGGAGACAUGACUGGUGAGGGGAGGCUGAGGGCACUGGGCUGAUGUAGUCUGCAGAAGAGAAGACUGAGGGGGAUUGAAUAGCAGCCUUCAACUACCUGAAGGGCAGCUUGAAAGAGGAUGGGGCUGGGCUGUUCUCAGUGGGGGCAGAUGACAGGGCAAGCAACAAUGAUCUCCAGUUGCAGCAAGGGAAGUUGAGGUUGGAUAUUAGGAAGAAUUUUCUCACAAAGAGGGUAGUAAAACACUGGAAUGGGUUACCCAGAGAGGUGAUGGCAUCUCCAUUUAUUGAGGACCCGGCUAGACAAAGCCCUAGCUGGGAUGAUGCAGUUGGGGCUGGUCCUGCUUGGAGCAGGGGGUUGGACUAGAUGUGACCUCCUGGGAUCCCUUCCACCCUCAUUGUCUGUGAUUCUAUGACCUUAGCCACAAAAAUGGGAGUGGAAAUCUUCUCCCUUCAAUCCUGGAGGUGGGACGAAAGCGUGCCAGCUUCAGGACACCUACUGUUUCCACCUGUGGCCCAAGGCAUACAGAAAAAAGGGCUCACUGGUGAAAUAGCUUGGUCCUAACCCAUGACGUUUCCCUCGGAUGAUCCAUAGCGGGGAUCAAAAUGGGUUUUUUUGCCAUUCUUCCUAUUGGUUCUGCUUCCGUGAUAUCAACAGGGGGGCAGAGAAGUUCCUGAUGCAAUGGGGAAGUUGCUGAUUUUAUUUUCUAUGUUGCUUUAACAUUAUAAAUUCCAAUUGCACUAUCCUGGAAGACUCAGCAUGACCCCUUGCAUUUAGUAGGGUUGUGACUGCCUCUGCGUUUGUGCAGGGGGUUGGGUCAGGUAACCCCUGAGGUCCCUUCCAACCCCAAGACAUCACAAAGACGAAGGAAGUGAGACCUACGUAGAAGGUUCGCCACUGCUCCUUUCAAGUCCUUCAAGGUGGUACCACCAUCACAUUCCCACACUGUGUCCAGCAACCACGAGGGCUAGAAAAUGAGUUAGAAUAAAAAGGAAAACACUCGAUUUCAGAUGCUAGGAUUGUAAAAAAAACAAAUAUCCCCUGACUUAGCCACAAAGAUCAUAAAGAGCAAAAUCCACCCCGGCACAGACAGGCAACUCUGGCUCAUCUGUCAGCAAAGUCCUUCCUGUCCCCCAAAUUGGAAAGUAUGUGGGAUUAAGGUGUGCACGAGCCUGCUGUUAGUUUGAUCCCACCCAGGUGCACCGAGUAGCCAGGAAACGGCGACAGUUUCCACUGUCACAAAAAUACUUAGGAUGAUGUUAAGCAACUGGAGAAAUCAAGUCUCCAAGGGAUGACCUUUCAGAGGGACAAAUAUCCUGUGCUUGGGGAAGACCCCCCAUUCCCAGCAAUGGCAAUAAUUUGCUAUCUGAUGAGCUAACCUCCUAGGGCUCGAAUUCAAGAGCUUAGAUUGUAGACUAGUGAAAUGGGGUAAAAACUCGACUGUCGUUAGUCAUUAAAGGUCAAGAAACGCCUUGCUGGUUUUGACAUUUCUCGCUGGCAAUUCUGAGCUGCGGUGCUCACCACCCGAUAAAGCCUGGACUGUGAGUCACAUGAACAAUAUGAAAGUAGAAGCAGCAACGUAUACCGGCAACUGGGUUUUAUGAGUCCUCGUGUAAUUUAUGGCCAUCUCAUUGAUGUGGUCAGAUUGGAAUAUUCGUUGUAGGCCUAUGGCAAAUCUUUGUGAGCUUUAAGGAAAGGAAACAUUUAUAUUGGCCAGACGUUUUGGAAUAAUAAAUCAAAAACUCAGCAAUCCAUUACAACAAUAUAGAUAGGAACCUGAAGGCAGAUUUCUGGACACAUUUCAGAGGCCUGCUCUUACUUAUGUCAUAAGGAAAUUAGCCAGCGUGAGGACGGUGGGUUUGACAGCCCAGUGGUAUUAUUAAAAGACCUUCUUUAAAGGGAGAGAAAGCCUUGGGCUGUGGGGGUGGGGUAGGCAUGUUGCUGUAGCUUAAAAUGAAUAGAAAUGAGUCUGAUGAAACAGUAGAGAGUCGCAUAUAUUUUUCCACUUCCUCCUGCUGGCUUGCAGAGAGCGAGGAGUGCUCACAGGAAAGGGGCAUGGCUGGAAGGAAGGGGCUGUUUGCAGACCGAGGAAGUCAGAGCAGCCUCCAAACUGCUCUAAUUCAACUCCCUCCAAGAGGCUGCUGUGGGCUGGGAGGAUCCCCAGAGUGAGCUUUUUCUAUCCUGUGCCUUGAGCCCUAGCUGAGAGGUCCGACUCUGGGUAUCCGGCCCUACGGCUUCCAGGGGGAAAUGCAAACCCAGGCUCCCGACACGUCUCUCGAUCUGCAGCUGUGGGCUUGCCAAAAUACACAAUGAGACGGUGCCAUUCGGAAGGGAAAGUCUUCAGCACAGCUGCCUGCGAGAAGCCAACAGGCCGGAGAGCAGCCAGGAGUGGAGGCAUCCGUGGCAGUGGGGAGCUGGGGAUUUCUGGCCGAUUUGCUGAGCAUUGACUGUGUCUACGUUUCUACCUAAUCAAAGACAGCUGGAGAAGGAGACACCCAUGACAGAGUUUGAACCUGUAUGGGAUGUUUAAUAGGUAAAACCACCGCAGUAACCGGAGGCCUGAGAAAAUGACUCCAGUGGAAAGUGCAAGGAUGAUCCUUUGGGAAUGAUGGGGUUUCAAGGACCAGCCUGAAUAGGAAACGGUGCCUUUAAGAUGGUAGGGGCCAACCUUUUUUUGGCAGCUGCACCACAAGGUGUGUUGGCUCAAUCCAGUCCAUCCACAUGCAUAUGCUUGUUCAUCUGUGCAGUCCUACCUCCACCAGGCAGGCAGCCUCCGGAGAGGAGAAGCUAACUGCAAAACCAGUGCCUCCUCCCACAGCACUGGAACGACUCGGGUGUAACGUUAUCCCGUGAUGGACCCCAUGCAAAGUUGGUUCCUGUAGCUAACAUUGAUGUCAAAGGGCCGGGAUGAUGUUAUGCCGCCAUGGCUCGUGAACUUUGCAAUCAUGUGACGGACAACACAUCUCUCUUGCUUCUCCUGUUACCCCUUAAUCUAUCUGCGUCUUUCUCCCUCCUUCUUCCAGGCUGCUAAAGAAGUUUUCCUUCUUCACCCUUUCCCCCACUGCCAGCUUUUUCGGUAGAAGAGAAGCUCUGAUCCCCCAAUAGCCGAACAAAAAGCAUCCCUUCUACUUGGGUGGACCCCACUUGUGGUCCAUAGUUUCAGUGCAUCUCUUUGCAGUUCCUGAGACUCAGCCUGGACCAUCAAAACCAGGUAACUGCGCCUCAGACCCAGACAUGACUUUCACUCCACGGGGUAGCAUCACUGCUGCCAAACACACUAAUUAGCAAGUGGCAAAGAGAGACUUAUGCCUGUGUGGGGUCAUGAAAUCUCAACGUCCUCUGCCUCAGGUAGCUACAGGAACUGAUAGGCCUCCCUGUCUUGGGAACAAGGAGUACAGAAAUCACUGUGGGUGGAGUAUUAAUGACUUCCACUGCACCAGGGAUGAUCAUCUACCUCUUUCCUAUUAUGCUAAAUUAUGGGAUAAAUCCUGACCUCAUUACAUCCCAGACAGCUUCGUGGGAUAGAAUGGAAAUGCCCAGCAUGAGAGGGGGAAAACGAUCCUAAAUCCCCUCUUCUGCAUCAUGACGGUGCUGGAACGACAAUGCAGAUGUCAUUCGAUUUGCAAGAUAAAUGUUGACAAUGCAGAGGUCGUUCGAUUUACGAGGGGCGAUUUACAAGGUCCCUGUGGGUGGGAGGCGAGUCAGCUGUGCUGGUACAGAUUGCUGCAAAAGGUUUGCGGGUCUGCUGGGAGUUGGGCAAUCUUGCCAAGUGUAUAGGGCACUGACCUAGGGGUCAAGACACCUGGGUCCGAUUCCUGUCUUGACUUCAGUGUGACCUCAGCUAAAACAUUUUGACUUUCUUUCCCCUCUGUCUGUCCUAUUUAGACUGUGAGGCCUGCAGGGCAGGAAUUUCUCCCUAUUAUAUGCCUGUGUGUUGCCAAAUAAUGAUCUGAAUGGACACCUCCCCAUAUUAUCUUAUUGCAACCAUUGCUAUGGUUAUGGUCGCAUACAGCUUAUCACAGGGCUGCUCUGUGGGUCCUCCUAUUGUGCUCUGAGAUGCCCAGAAAGGUCUUUGGGAACUGACUGGGCACUGUAUAAAACAGGAUCAGACUGAUUAUGACUUGCUGGAAGCAACAAACUGUAGAGGAGGGAGAAAAAGUAGCAUUAGGAUGCCACCCUCUCUCUCCAAUCCCAUCACUAGGCACGGAAAACCAGCAGUAUGUUGGCAGAGGGAGAACAGCUGGAGGGGUCCGAGAUGCGCCAGGGUGUCAGCUCCCAUAACAACCAUGCAUGCUCAUCCCCAAAUCUACCCGGGCACGCUGUGUCACCAGGGCGCUGAUCUGCUGCUUGGAAUAAACUGUCGGGUAAGAUCAUCGUUAGGAGGUUAUUGUAACCGGAGUCGCUGGAAUGGCUCUUGGCGGGCACCGAGCUCUGUGGUCUGGCGACGGCACUGGGGAUAAUUCUGCCCAGCUAUCUGGGAUUGCCUGCUAAUACAAAAUGCCAUUAUCCAUCUCGUUAGCUGCAACUGGCCUUUAUUUACAUUUCCACUUAGCUAGGUAGUUUCCUUAAGACCCCAAGAAUUCAAAACACAGACGUGUCAUUAAGACGUUUCAAAUACCCACAUGUUUAACAAAAACAUCUGAUGUGUGUGGAAAGCCAUCGGAGUGCUUCUCUCUCUCUCGUUUUUAAUAAAGAACAAAUGCAAAUAAUAGGCUGAAUCCCCCAUUGCAAUCGUGACCCCUCGCAGGAGGGAUUUGCAGCCAGGGGGCAUGGAAGCAGCCCUGAUAUUUUUAUGUUCUUCAAAAAGAAAAUAUUUGAAAUAUUAGGUUACAGGAUCUGCUGGGAUGGGACUCAGCCAGGUCGCUGACAGUGGGUGAAACGUAUGUCUGCAAAGAACUAGGAAAAGACAUGGGAAAAGGUUUUUUUUUUUUUUUCCUUUUUCCCCCUUCUUUCUUGGCUGGCCCAUUAAAAGAAUAGAUCUCUGUGUUUUUGUUGUCGUUGGCUGCUCUCGAGCUGGGCAGAGAAGGGGAGACGAGGAGACAGAAUCAGAAAAAUUUGGAGAAAAGGAAAAGUCGAGCAAGCAGCCUUGGCUAAGGGAGGGUAGUCUCCAUUACUCCAGGCCUUUUUGCUUUGCGUUGUGCAAAGCUUCUCCCCUCCCUCGUCCCUCGGACCCUACACCGACACCAUAAAGUCUUUCCUAAGUUUUCUCCUGGCUGCCUCUGGGUCUCACAAAUCCUGAGCAAAGCCAGUCGAACCCCAAGGGGUGUCCGCUACAUCCCGUGUGCUAUGGGUUCCUCGGCGGGGACCUGCAGAGUUGGCAUGGCCACAUUUGCAUCUACUCUUCCAGGACCUGACCUCCCUCCGCUCUGUUCAGCACUGGAGUACCGUGCCCAGCUUUGGGCCCCACGUUUCAAUAAGGAUGUGGACAAUUUGGAAAGCUGUCCAGUGGAGAGUGGGAGGAAAAGAAAAGAUUAGAGGCCUGGGAAGCAUGACUUCUGAGAAAACCCUGAAAGAACUAGGGUUAUUUCAUCUGGAGAAGGAGGGAGAAUUUGAUAACAGCCUUCAAAUCCUUGAUUUCAUAGAUUGCAUAGACAUUAGGGCUGGAAGGGAUCGUGGAAGACCAUCGAGUCCAGCCCCCUGCCACAGGGGCAGGAAGUCAGCUGGCGUCACAGGAUCCCAGGGUCAAAGGAUGGUCUCUGACGGCAGGGAACAGGACUAGAAGCAAUGGUCUCAAGCUGCACCAGAGGAAAUUUAGGUUGGAGACGAGGAGGAACUUUAUGACUAUGGGGGUGCUCAAGCAUCGGAGCAGGCUGUCUGGAGAAGUUGUGGAAUAUCUCACCCUGGAAAUCUUCAAAAUCAGGUUGGAUAGGGAUGGUUUAGUCAAAGAUGAUCCUACCUUGAGCAAGGGGCUGGGCUAGAUGACCUCCUGAGAUCUCAUCCAAGCCUACUUUCCUAAUACCCUCUGAUCCCACUUUGGGGAAGAGGGGUCAUAUGUGUCCUAUGUGGGUGGCAGAGCAGACAAGCUUUCCCUAGAGAGCCUGCAUGUGAGAAAGACCCGAGGAAGGAGGAAAUAUGCCCAUGCCCAGAGAAGAAGAGGCAGAGGGACGCUGAUAGCACCUCCCUAUUGACUGGAAAACCAACUGGAUCCCCUCUUCCAUGUGGACCCCCCAAUGAGAUGCUUCAGCUUGUUACCCAACACACACACACACACACACACACACACACACACACGUCUUUGCACUUCAGGCCUGCCAAGCCGUGUACCCUGCGGUCUCCAGGAAGUGCUCAGACAAUGAAGUCUCUCCACACAAUUUGACCGGGAUCCUCAAGCCGACCCCAAGCAGAAGGAUAGAGUUGCUGUGAAACCUUUCCAAAAUAGCCCGUGACCCAAAAGAAAAUUAACAGUGAACAACAACAACAAGAAAAAAAUGCAGCCAGCAGCAUAAAAAAGAGCCCAUGCUGUGCCCUCACCAGCUCCUUCUCUGUAAUUAAGUGAAAAUGCUGGAGGUUUGGUGUUUUUUUGGUUUUUGUUUUUUUUUUAAACUGUCCUCCAGUUUCCUUAGAAAGUCUUAUAUUCUUUUCCUGGGUAAACACACUGCAGAAGCUCAGAGGAAUUUGCUCUCCCUGCUUUCCUUAUCCCUUGUUUCUUGCUUUUUUGGCCUUGUUUCUUGCUUUUUUGGCCUGUCAUUUCUAAUUUGGGAGCCGUGGUAUAGUUUUGCCCCAUGGGGCAGGGAACUGUGGGGCAGCAGGAGGGGAGGUUUUAGCUCUAUGUGACCCAGGCAAAAUGGUUCAGCAUGCUGCAUGAAUGCAGCCUGACUUCAGGUGGCAAGGAAAAGAGGGCCGCUGGGUUGUAUGUAGCAGCUCAGAGCUUGUUCAUUAAGGUCCGUGCCAGGAGGAAUUAGGUAGCUGAACCGGUAAUAGCACCGGCUGGAGUCCUACUUUGGACAGGCCUCUGGGGAUUUAACAAAUGCACUGUUGGAAAAGGUCAGGAAAUAAUCAUUUUAAGUGGAAAACAUGAACAUGAAUGAAAAGAAAAGCACCUAAAUGUCUCCUUGGACUUAUUUAUAAGCAAAAAUGUAAAUGGCUAUGAUAUGCUGGCUGAACACCUGCAAGGCUGAGUCUGAGAUAACUACUGAGGUGCCUCACCGGCAUUGCACAUCUGAUGUCAUGUGUUCCUCGCUCCAUCUGCAAGCCAAACCCCGUCAUUACACUACACAUCCCAUGAUGCACCAUGGUUUCUUGCAGGGAGAGAAAGCAAUUGUGUCAUGGAAGAUAUAAUCAUGCAGGAAUACUGGAACAUGAAACAUCUGCUGGACAUAUCUUCGAAUAUCGGAUGGACAAAGCCUUGGCUGGGAUCAGAUAGUUGGGUUCGGUCCUGCUUGGAGCAGGGGGUUGGAUUAGAUGUGAGCUCCUGAGGUCCCUUCCACCCUCAUUUUGUAUGCUUUUAUGACUCUGUGAUAUCGGAGUCCAGCUCUUUUGGUGUAUCGUUAGUCCUUUUUAUUUUCCAGAGCUUUGAUUUUCCAAUUAGAAGUCAAGACAGAAUGCAGAAAAUGAACAUGCUUUGCAAAAACGAGCCAUACAAUGAACCUCCCAAUAUGCCACCGAAUAAGAUUCUUCAACAGAAAUGGAUUGAAACAGCCUUUAGGUGACAAUGCAAACAAAAUUGGCUGCAGGAAUGUCAGACAUGGCUCCACUUCCACGCUUCCAGUCGCCUGGUGCAGCCCUCCCGGCACCCAACAUAGUGAACGUCAUGAAUGCCAGUUUGAGCCAUCUGCGUCUCCCCAACGGGAACUUUAGGUCCCUGACCUGACUUGGAGGAUUUAAUUUUUGGAGCCAAAAUAUAUAUUGCAUCCCACCUCUACAGUCUGUUUCACAUAGAGGAUACCCUUCUACUUCUUCAACCAGCCACUCCUUUAGCUCUUGGAGAGCACUAUCAUAUACUUAUACUGGUAUAUAGGGUGCAUCUACAUGUUCAUUAAUGCACCACAGCUACUGCAUGUUAAGUUUAGCAUUUGGAUAACCAAGUAAUAAAUUAAUGCACAGUAACUUGUGCUACUGUCCAGUA
Alligator mississippiensis (American alligator) is the source of this 12521-nucleotide long non-coding RNA. RefSeq lists it as uncharacterized. The transcript is spliced from 3 exons. The record is from RefSeq and is a predicted model, not a curated record. Lineage: Eukaryota; Metazoa; Chordata; Crocodylia; Alligatoridae.